CAGCGUGACCUAACCUUAAAACACCCACUAGAUACCAGUUUCAUUUUACUGCGUGCACUGCAAUUUCUGACUGGAAGGAAGAAAUAACACAAUCAAUCGAGAUCCGGGGUGGUCCAUACAACAUGGCGUACGUGAUUAAGAAGACAAAAUCUGGCAUAGUGCUGCCAUACCUACCUGCUGAGGGACAACUCAAGGACGGACGCAAGGUCAUACUGGAGUACUACAAGGACGAAGACGAAGCACAGGUUCAUGCCAUUAUGAAGUAUAUCGUCAAUGAGGAGGGCGAUUGCUUUCCUUCGGAAGACCUAAGUAAUGUUGAGGACUUCCGAGCUUAUUAUCCGUUAUUUGACCUCUUUGUUUGUCGUGACGUCACUUCCGGUGAGGUAAUAGGAAGCUUAUACGUGAAGCCUACUUUCCCGGGACGAUCUUCACACAUUUGUAACGCUGGUUUUGCAGUUAAGAAAUCAUUUCGAGGAAAAGGUAUGGGGAGGUUCCUGGCUGGACACUAUCUUCAAAUUGCGCGUGAUCUUGGUUUCCAAGCAUCUUUGUUCCGUCUAGUGUUUGCGUCCAACGAAGCUUCUGUAAAUUUGUGGCGAAGCAUGGGUUUCAUAGAGACUGGGCGCAUCCCUAACGCGGGAUACCUCAGGGGGCGUGGCCUUACUGAUGCUUUACAGUUUUAUUAUGAUUUAACCAAAAUAGAAAAGAAAGUUUAAUCAAAUCACCUGAACGACA
Molecule: unclassified non-coding RNA, 732 nt
Filed under: Mizuhopecten yessoensis (Yesso scallop)
Lineage: Eukaryota; Metazoa; Mollusca; Bivalvia; Pectinida; Pectinidae
Description: l-azetidine-2-carboxylic acid acetyltransferase-like, transcript variant X2
Source: RNAcentral